This 148-nucleotide non-coding RNA is filed under the name Nomascus leucogenys (northern white-cheeked gibbon). The record is from Rfam by way of RNAcentral. Lineage: Eukaryota; Metazoa; Chordata; Mammalia; Primates; Hylobatidae.
GCCGGGCAUGGUGGUGGGCGCCUGUAAUCCCAGCUACUUGGGAGGCUGAGGCAGGAGAAUCGCUUGAACUCAGGAUGCAGAGGUUGCAGUGAGCCGAUAUCGGAUCACUGCACUCCAGCCUGGGUGACAAAGCAAGACUCUGUCUCAA